AUGUUCAGAGGAGACAUCAGAAUAACAAGAAAUAAUCUGUGUGUUCUCACUUUUCUGCGUUGGGACUCAGUAGUCAUGUCUAUGUUAUGUGAUGCAGGCCCCUGCCCAGGACUGGGGAAUCCCAGCUUACGACGGGUCGAUCCGGACGUAGCCCCAGAAGUCAAAGAACAUCUGUACUCUUGGAAGUCACUCUCAUUGGAGACUUCAGGAAAAUAGCAAACAGUUGCUUACAUCGUUCUAAACAUGUUAUCAGUAUUGAUUAAAUUAAAUUCAGUACAGGAUGCUUUCCUACUGCAAAGAUAUAAGCCAAAUGGUCUGUCAGUUUUGGGGUGGUUUGCUUCUCCUGCUUUGAUUCUCUUCUGCAUUGUCAGGAGAGCCGAUAAAAUUAUUUGCCUUUCUCCCUCCCGUAGGUGUACCUACCCCAGCCUACUGUAUACCGUUUCCAGUAGGUGACUUUGUUCCCAGCGGGCCUCAAUAGCAUCGAGUCUCAACAGAAGGAAGAGCAGCGCCACCUACUGGGCACAGACUCCCAAGCUUUUUUUUUUUUUUUGAGACCGAGUUUCUCUCGUUACCCAGGCUGGAGUGCAAUGGCGCAAUCUCGGCUCACCGCAACCUCCGCCCCCUGGAUUCAGGCAAUUCUCCUGCCUCAGCCUCCUAAGUAGCUGGGAUUACAGGCACGCACCACCAUGCCCAGCUAAUUUUUUGUAUUUUUAGUAGAGACGGGGUUUCACCAUGGUGACCAGGGUGGUCUCGAUCUCUUGACCUCAUGAUCCACCCGCCUCGGCCUCCCAAAGUGCUGGGAUUACAGUCUUGAGCCACCGCGCCCGGCCCUCCCAAGCUUUUUGAGUAUUUACUCCUGUUCUUGAGAGACAACCUUCUUGUUAGAGGAGUCUCAUCACAGAAUCCAAGUGACACAAUCUGAAUCCCCAUGACAUUCUGGAAGAAUCUGGAAGAAUUAAAUGUCCCAGCAUUAGCUGCAUGGGGCUUCUGAGGUUGCUUCUAAAGGGAAACAGACUUUUAGUAAAAUACGCUUCUCCAAUAACACGUUCAUUAUUCUCCAGGUUUAUAAAGCCUACCGGACAGUUAGUCAGGCUUUGAGAGCAUUUUGGAAGGACCUUGAGUUUUUCUGAAUAAGGAACCAUAUGCUCUAAAAAUCUACAACCUUAUUUAAA
This 1172-nucleotide long non-coding RNA is filed under the name Callithrix jacchus (white-tufted-ear marmoset). RNAcentral describes it as "lncRNA (ENSCJAG00000071938.1)". Lineage: Eukaryota; Metazoa; Chordata; Mammalia; Primates; Cebidae. The record is from RNAcentral.